UGUUAAAAUUUUUAUUCAUUUAUAUUGUUAAAAAUUGGUGUGGUUGACAGAAUAAUUAGACAGUAAAAUGUGACGUGCCACGCUUACCUCAUGCUGACGUAUACGGAUCAAUUUUUAACAACAGAAUUGGGUCAAAUGUUUAACA
Non-coding RNA from Gossypium hirsutum (cotton), 145 nucleotides. NCBI's taxonomy places the organism in Eukaryota, Viridiplantae, Streptophyta, Magnoliopsida, Malvales, Malvaceae. The record is from Rfam.